GAUGAACGCUGGCGGCGUGCCUAAUACAUGCAAGUCGAGCGAACAGACGAGGAGCUUGCUCCUCUGACGUUAGCGGCGGACGGGUGAGUAACACGUGGAUAACCUACCUAUAAGACUGGGAUAACUUCGGGAAACCGGAGCUAAUACCGGAUAAUAUAUUGAACCGCAUGGUUCAAUAGUGAAAGACGGUUUUGCUGUCACUUAUAGAUGGAUCCGCGCCGCAUUAGCUAGUUGGUAAGGUAACGGCUUACCAAGGCAACGAUGCGUAGCCGACCUGAGAGGGUGAUCGGCCACACUGGAACUGAGACACGGUCCAGACUCCGGGAGGCAGCAGUAGGGAAUCUUCCGCAAUGGGCGAAAGCCUGACGGAGCAACGCCGCGUGAGUGAUGAAGGUCUUCGGAUCGUAAAACUCUGUUAUUAGGGAAGAACAAAUGUGUAAGUAACUAUGCACGUCUUGACGGUACCUAAUCAGAAAGCCACGGCUAACUACGUG
This 494-nucleotide ribosomal RNA is filed under the name uncultured bacterium. RNAcentral's name for it is "partial 16S ribosomal RNA". It matches the Rfam family "Bacterial small subunit ribosomal RNA", at positions 28 to 507 of the family's 1533-position model. The record is from RNAcentral.